RNAcentral lists this ribosomal RNA (502 nucleotides) under uncultured bacterium. Its description in RNAcentral is "bacterial SSU rRNA". It matches the Rfam family "Bacterial small subunit ribosomal RNA", at positions 26 to 518 of the family's 1533-position model. The record is from RNAcentral.
CUAGGAUGAACGCUAGCGACAGGCUAACACAUGCAAGUCGAGGGCAGCAUAAAAGUAGCAUACUUGGUGGCGACCGGCGCACGGGUGAGUAACGCGUAUCGCAACCUACCUAUCAGAGGGGAAUAACCCGGCGAAAGUCGGACUAAUACCGCAUAAAACAGGGGCACCGCAUGGUGAUAUUUGUUAAAGAAAUUCGCUGAUAGAUGGGCAUGCGUUCCAUUAGGUAGUUGGUGAGGUAACGGCUCACCAAGCCGACGAUGGAUAGGGGAACUGAGAGGUUGGUCCCCCACACUGGUACUGAGACACGGACCAGACUCCUACGGGAGGCAGCAGUGAGGAAUAUUGGUCAAUGGGCGGGAGCCUGAACCAGCCAAGUCGCGUGAAGGGAAAAGAAGGAUCUAUGGCUCGUAAACUUCUUUUGCAGGGGAAUAAAGUGCAGGACGUGUCCUGUUUUGUAUGUACCCUGAGAAUAAGGAUCGGCUAACUCCGUGCCAGCAGCCGC